UAUCUAGGAGAAUUGGACCUUCCCUCAGGGAUGGCAGAGCUGAAAAAAGUAAGGAUCCAACAAGAGAGGGGCAGUAAAGUCAGCCCUGGGUCAAGUACAGUAAAGAAGAAUUAUCUAUGGCCCGUGCUCCACAGGAGUGAAGGGCUUAAAAUCGGGUUCUCCAUAGCCAAAAUCGUGGGAUUUCAUAUUAAAUAAAUCAAUAUAUAUCCAUUUUCCUGCAAGUUAUGAGGGAAAAAUCGGAUCUUGUGAAUUUUCCAAAAGUCCCCUCCCAUCAGAAACACUGUCGUAGACACCCAGUGAAGUUUCGGAAAAGGCACACCAUUUGACCGAAUUGUUUUGAGCAUGAAAUCUUUUCAGGCGAACGUAAAGAAUACGUACACUCGGUGUUUAGGGUUUGUGUUAUGUCGAAAACGGGUGGUACGUAUUCUUGACCUCCGCCAAAUAUUCUCUACUCUAGACACAAGGCCCGAAACUUUUGGGGAGGAGGUCAGUCUAUUAGAUCGACCUCAGUACGCAACUUGGUACUUAAUUCAUCGACCCCGAAACAAUGAAAAGCAAAGUCGACCUCGGCAGAAUUUGAACUCGGAAUGUAAAAAUAGACGAAAUACUGCUAAGCAUUUCGCCCAGCGAAAAAUAUGAGCUGCAGUAGUAACUUACGCUGUAAAAGUAAAUAUUAAUGAAUAAGGUAAUGAUUUCUAAAUAUAGGCGAAUCUGUAAUUUUCAGAAAUUUUUGCCAAUGUAGUGUACACACGGGAAUUCAUACAACUGCGCAAAAACCCAAACAAAAAUAUUUUUGCGAGAUUUUAUUCCACGGCUUCUCAGAAGCUGAUUUAAAUGAAAGUUGUGUGUGAACUUGGUGGAAAGAGUUUAUUGGAAUAAUUAUACGACGUUUUGUCCCGUAACACCCCAAUUGGAAAUGCAAUGAAUCUAAGAUACUUGUUUCCCUGUCAGGAAGAAAGAUAAGGGCUAAAGAAAUAAUACAGCCCUUAAAUCACGCCAAAACUUUUUGUGUUAUUGCGCAAUCGAAUGAAUUCCAUUCGCAAAAAUUUCUGAAAGCUGUAAAAGUUAUCACGAGUUGUAUUGGGUGCUUAAAGUAGAAUUUCGCCGAAUAUAUAUAUUUUUUGCUUUCUACCACAGGCACGAAGCCUUUUGUGGGGAAUAGGCUCGUGAAUUACUUCGACCCCACCCCCAGUGCUAAAGGAUGACCUCGGCGGAAUUUAAACUCGGUCCGACGUACUGACGGUUCUUUGCUGCAGCUAAUUAUUAUUAUAACCAGGCGGGAAGAGAAUAGUUAAAGAACCAAUUUUUCAUAAAGUAGUAAGAAUGUUAUAAAACACUGGAUAUUUUCUUGUCACUUAAUUAAAAGAAAAAAAAAACGCAUAUUGGGGAGGCAAAAAUGUAUUUAAAUUUGAGUUUGGCGCCUUGCGAUUUCAUUGGCAGAAAAUGUCAAGUGACAACUAUGCUAACUUAGUACUUGUUGACUGCAGAUGCCUAAUUAUUGGAAG
This is a long non-coding RNA of Octopus sinensis (East Asian common octopus), 1505 nucleotides long. RefSeq lists it as uncharacterized. NCBI's taxonomy places the organism in Eukaryota, Metazoa, Mollusca, Cephalopoda, Octopoda, Octopodidae. The record is from RefSeq and is a predicted model, not a curated record. The transcript has 3 exons.